CCCUUAUUGUAAGUUGAGGCAAGGUAUACAAUUGGUAUUGAAUUGAAGUAAACUAGUGGGCUAUAAGAAGACCGGGUUUCCUCUGUGUUUGCUGGGUCUGCAAGGAAGCAUAAAAUAGUCUCUUGAGCACCGGAGUUAGCCACUGGUAGAUCAGCAGAAUCAUAAGUGGAAAGAGCAGAUACGGGAACUGAUGCAAUCUCUAUAUGAUAUGUGCUAGAUCUAUCCCUAUAACUAUUCUUAUUGAAACAAAUAGAUGAAACAAUAGAUUGAACUCGGGAUGAAACACGAGCAAGAGCAUCUCUUUCUGUUCGCCUAGUACGAAUGGAAUCCCCAGCAAGUAGUGGCCCAUUUGAAUCUUUAGGUGUUGGCUAAAGUCCAGGUCUAGGUAAGGAUGCUACCAGUGCAACUACUACCGGGAUGAAGACUUACUUGCCUUAUACCAGAUGCGGAAGUAUACCACAACACUUCUUUAUUAACCCCGGGCAGCCUACCUUACUUUAGCUACUGAGUCUGGUGCUUCAACUUAGAGAAAGAAGCCUUUCAGAA
RNAcentral lists this long non-coding RNA (546 nucleotides) under Musa acuminata (dwarf banana). Its description in RNAcentral is "long non-coding RNA (MACU_LNC007463)". The record is from RNAcentral. Lineage: Eukaryota; Viridiplantae; Streptophyta; Magnoliopsida; Zingiberales; Musaceae.